Molecule: ribosomal RNA, 468 nt
Filed under: uncultured bacterium
Lineage: Bacteria
Description: partial 16S ribosomal RNA
Rfam family: Bacterial small subunit ribosomal RNA
Source: RNAcentral
GACGAACGCUGGCGGCGUGCUUAACACAUGCAAGUCGAACGGACAGGCCCUGCUUUUGUGGGGUGCUCGAGUGGCGAACGGGUGAGUAACACGUGAGUAACCUGCCCUUGACUUUGGGAUAACUUCAGGAAACUGGGGCUAAUACCGGAUAGGAGCUCCUGCUGCAUGGUGGGGGUUGGAAAGUUUCGGCGGUUGGGGAUGGACUCGCGGCUUAUCAGCUUGUUUGUGGGGUUGUUGCUUACCAAGGCUUUGACGGGUAGCCGGCCUGGGAGGGUUACCGGCCACAUUGGGACUAAGAUACGGACCAGACUGCUACGGGAGGCAGCAGUGGGGAGUAUUGCGCAAUGGGCCGAAGCCUGAGGCAGCGACGCCGCGUGCGGGAUGACGGGCUUCGGGUGGUAAACCGCUUUCGCCGGUGACGUAGCGUGAGUGACGGUAAUGGGUAAAGAAGCAACGGCUAACUACGUG